This 497-nucleotide ribosomal RNA is filed under the name uncultured bacterium. Its description in RNAcentral is "partial 16S ribosomal RNA". It matches the Rfam family "Bacterial small subunit ribosomal RNA", at positions 28 to 507 of the family's 1533-position model. The record is from RNAcentral.
GACGAACGCUGGCGGCGUGCCUAAUACAUGCAAGUCGAACGCUGAAGAGAGGAGCUUGCUCUUCUUGGAUGAGUUGCGAACGGGUGAGUAACGCGUAGGUAACCUGCCUGGUAGCGGGGGAUAACUAUUGGAAACGAUAGCUAAUACCGCAUAACAACAGUUGUUGCAUGACAGCUGUUUAAAAGAUGCAAUUGCAUCACUACCAGAUGGACCUGCGUUGUAUUAGCUAGUUGGUGAGGUAACGGCUCACCAAGGCGACGAUACAUAGCCGACCUGAGAGGGUGAUCGGCCACACUGGGACUGAGACACGGCCCAGACUCCUACGGGAGGCAGCAGUAGGGAAUCUUCGGCAAUGGGGGGAACCCUGACCGAGCAACGCCGCGUGAGUGAAGAAGGUUGUCGGAUCGUAAAGCUCUGUUGUAAGAGAAGAACGGGUGUGAGAGUGGAAAGUUCACACUGUGACGGUAGCUUACCAGAAAGGGACGGCUAACUACGUG